Molecule: long non-coding RNA, 2369 nt
Organism: Varroa destructor (honeybee mite)
Lineage: Eukaryota; Metazoa; Arthropoda; Arachnida; Mesostigmata; Varroidae
Source: RefSeq, a predicted model, not a curated record
UUCAGGGGCUGGAUGUGGUCGGAUGUGAACAGAGCUUGUGAGGAGGACUCGCCUACUCUCACGGGUAUAGCGAUCCAGGACAUGCAGGCCAAUGUGCAGAGAACUGGCCAAAAUGCUUGCAAAUCAUCGAUAUUCACUUUGUGCAGCUGUUCAAAACUUAAUUCACAGUUCAAAUCCAGAUCUUUACAACUCAUAAACAUUAAAAGCAGUUAUUUCAAAUACAGCUAAUUUCUUGGCAAUCACACAAUUGGCCUCGGCUGCACCUUUUUCGGUAGUCAAAAUUUCGAGAGUUGCCGGAUCAAGUUUGCAUGUAGUUACCUCAAACCUUUCGUACCAGGUAUCGUGAACUACUAGUUAGAAUCGAGCCAAAACCGCCAUUUUAUUUCAACCCGAAAUAAUAGCGGUCAAGUAUCUUCACUCUUCAGAGCGCAAUCGUCAACACAUUUCUGAUGCGCUUCUCACUCGCCGCCUUCUUCUUCGAGGACUUCAUUUCGUGCUGGGAGUCAGCUGCGUGAUGGAAUGCCUAGUAGCGAUACCGGAAGUAAAACUCGAAGCAUGUAAGCGCAUAUACACGUACUUCAAUCAUAUACUGGUGAAUGUGAAGCCUACAGGUAAAUUCCGAGCACGGGGUGCAUCCCAGGAGUGAAAUCUGGAGUGAUUACGACUAUCCUCUGAUUUGAUAUGUAGAAGAAAACGCAAGUAGAAGGUAGGUAUUCGCAUCGUAUACAUCACCACUCCUGCACCUGCAGGAAAGCCUCAAGUACCGGUGACGCAGAAAGAAAGCCGCUACAGAAAUCUAGUACCAAAUAAGUUUGACUGCUUACGUUAAUUGCUAUGACCACCGUUUUAGAAUCUGCACUAUAAAAUCGACGUAGGCUUCAUCAUCACAUGGGAAUACGCUGCAUCUGAAAAAAACAAGCAGGACUGCCCAUAGUUAUGGUUACGCAAGGGACAGUGCGAACUUGUCUUUAGCUGUUUAUCGCACUUACAAACAUCCAUGCGUGAAAAACAAACAACAUAUGAAAAAAAAACUAAAACAGCACCAAGCACACAGGACGGGUGGCAACAAUCCGCUAGUCUGGCUUCGAACCGACAAAAAAAGGAAGUCAAUCGAUAAUAACAUCCAUAGAUUUUCGAAAUACAAGACGAUACUAUUGUAUAUUCGUGUAGAUUGAUACAUAGACAGCUUGUGACCCUAGCCGUCGCUGCAAGCGAACAAUACGAUUCGGAGCGUUCUAUAUAAUCUCUUUAUGUAAUCCCCGCUUACAAUCGUCGUGCAAAGGCCAGUGACUGCGUAUCUUACUAUUGCUUCGGAAAAACGCUGCGUCGAGCCUGUCAACGGAGUAGGUGCACUCGCACACAGGGAGGCGCUGAAAGGUACAUCCUGUAAUUUCUAUACCUCUGCAAUAGACACCAAUUACAGGAAGACCGAUACUUGAAGUACAACAGAAGAUACGACUGGACUAUGUACAACCAUUUCUAGCAAUUGUAUUUCCGAUCAUAGAUUCUGAAGCGCGGCUAUAAGACUUACAAGAGUAAAAAUCGAGCAAAUUGUGAUAGUACUUAGGCGCUUGAUUGUGACAUCACACGCUCAACAAAACUAUAAAAUAUAUAUAUAUAUAUAUAGCGAAAUUAAGAGAAACUGAAUAAUGGUGGACCGGAUGAGUUGAUUUGGUUCAGUUAUUACAAGUACAAUUUAGCCCGCCAUUUGUCGUGUUUACCCCUAACUCAGUCUAAACUAAAAAUAUCGCAGUAACACAGUGAUAUUGUGAUUCUACUGCUGUGAUUGUCAGCGCAGCUUUUUCUCGUUUCUUUUUGCUCGCUCUGAAAACCCUGCGUCUCUUGGGCAAAGUAAUAUAAUUUCUUUUAAUAAUCGAAUAAUCUUUCUCAUUGAGUUUAUGACAAAAGGACUUCCCCUGAUUAUCAAAUUUGAACAAAGCUUUCCCUUCAUCUGACCUUUUCAAUUCAUUCGGUUCGGUUCCGACCAACCCGCACACGGCUUUUAUAGUUCCGUCAGUUGAAUGGGUAGUACCACUUUCUGAUAAAGACGUCCUACAUCUCAUCCUUUCCGACUUAAUAACGUCUUAUCACUCGUCUAAAAGAAAAGAAAGGAACCUUUUCAUUUAGUCUAUUCUGUCACGUAGACGACCGACCGAGCUUUCCAUUGGGUGAUUAUCGCGACAUUUAAGUUCUCGAAAUCUUUUUGCUAUCAAGUUAUGGUGAAAUUUGAAGAUUUGUUUGGAAUGAUAUUGUUCAUAGAAAUAUCUGAUUAGCGGCCAUGGUAUAUGAAGCGAUCGGUUUGUAAACUAAUGUCAACAAUGGAAGUUUAAUAACGAAAGUAACGUUUUCUUUAUUUUUUGCGUUAACGU